CUUGAACUUUAUAAGAGGUCCAGCCUGCCCAGUGACUCUGUUCAACGGCCGCGGUAUCCUAACCGUGCGAAGGUAGCGUAAUCACUUGUUCUUUAAAUGCGGACUAGUAUGAAUGGCACUACGAGGGUUAUACUGUCUCCUCUUUCUAAUCAGUGAAACUAAUUUUCCCGUGAAGAAGCGGGGAUAUAAUUAUAAGACGAGAAGACCCUAUGGAGCUUUAAACAACCUAGCAAUUACUUCUAAAAUUAUAAAUUUCAGAAUACUCAUUUUUUAAGCAAUAUGUCUGCAAGUUUUUGGUUGGGGUGACCAUGGAGUAUAACACAACCUCCAUAUUGAAUGAAUUUUAUUCUAAGCUGAAAAUUACUAAUUGAAGCAUCAACACACUGACAUCUAUUGACCCAAUAUAUUUGAUCAACGAACCAAGUUAC
RNAcentral lists this ribosomal RNA (428 nucleotides) under Rhinella castaneotica group sp. ABGD cluster 16. RNAcentral's name for it is "partial large subunit ribosomal RNA". It matches the Rfam family "Bacterial large subunit ribosomal RNA", at positions 1835 to 2466 of the family's 2925-position model. The record is from RNAcentral. Lineage: Eukaryota; Metazoa; Chordata; Amphibia; Anura; Bufonidae.